AAGACAUCACUGCUGAAUCGUUGAUCAGUCCAUUUCAUGAACAGAAUAAUAUGUAUCAACAACAAUGCGUGUAAUUUGUUUGUUUGACACAAAAUUUUCCAACCAUUCCGUGAGGGUUUCAAGCAAGCAGUAGGAUUUCACGUGGUAGUACUUUACCCCCAUGUAUCCUUGUUUUCUUUUGGUUUCCCCUCUUAAAAUUCGAUUCUACACACGCAAACUCACUCUAAGUGCUUGUAGUAUAAAUACAUAAGUAAAUAAUUAUAAAGUGACAAUAAUUAACAUUUUGAGGAGGCCGGGGACCUAUCUAUUAAUGCGGAAAAAAAAAAAAAAAUUGUUGAGCUAGGCCAGCAGAAAUUAAUUAAAUCUCACCUAAAGUCCCACCAAGACGAUGUGACAUGACACCUAUAUACAUAUAUAUGAUGAAAUGAUGAAUAUGGCAGUUUGUAUUAAAAGCUUGGAUUGGCAGGUAGCCUCUCAAUAUCUGUAUCCAUUUGCCGAUAUGAUUUACGAUGAUGUAACAAUAUUCUAACAUUUAUUUAAUAAAAGAUGCAAGUUGUACGUGUACUAGUGUAGGAAUGCAGACGUGAGGGAGGAUAAAGGCACGCACCAAUUACGUACAUGCGAAGUGGGAUAAGAAACUUUCGGCUUAUUUAUUAAUAUGGGUUUUGCCUUUUGCAUUUUUAUGGUAUGUGACAAUGUAACACACAAGAAGCAUGCACCUAUAGGCUAUAAUCACGACGAGAAAGUUAAUCACCAGACACCAGAGGCCAUUAACUUUCUACAUGCAUUGUGGCACCUGUUCACAUUGUAGGGAGGAAUCUGUCAAGAGAAGCGACAUUCAUGCAAUUAAAUACGCACAACUUAAUUGGGGUUAACAUAAUAAUUAACAAUUGGAGUACCUUUUGACGAACUGUCUGAUCACGGGGGCCCCUGAUCUCUAGCAACGUCUCCAUCUAGAACUAGUGCUGGAUGGGAUGAGAAAGUUAUCAAACGGGUACCUACUCCAAAUUUCAUGGUUUUACUCGUCCAUCUUGAUUGAUCGGAACAUGAUCCUGAUCUCCAUUUCAAUUAAAAUCAUCUUUCAAACUUGCAAGAUAAAGAAUAAUGGCAGAAGUAAAAUAUUGUUAGUGAUUUCGGGCUUUGGUUCACAGAAGUAAUGUCCACAUACGUCAAAGUGAGUAUACAGGAAGGAAGAUUGUUUUUUGCUUCAUCAUUUCAAUGUAUACUUUCCAGCCACAUAUAAAGAGAAGUGAAAAUCUAUCA
This is a long non-coding RNA of Carya illinoinensis, 1263 nucleotides long. RefSeq lists it as uncharacterized. NCBI's taxonomy places the organism in Eukaryota, Viridiplantae, Streptophyta, Magnoliopsida, Fagales, Juglandaceae. The transcript is spliced from 2 exons. The record is from RefSeq and is a predicted model, not a curated record.